Juglans microcarpa x Juglans regia is the source of this 130-nucleotide long non-coding RNA. RefSeq lists it as uncharacterized. Lineage: Eukaryota; Viridiplantae; Streptophyta; Magnoliopsida; Fagales; Juglandaceae. The record is from RefSeq and is a predicted model, not a curated record. The transcript has 3 exons.
UGAUUUGGAGGACCUUACCUGUAGUUUAGGAAUAGAAAAAUUCUUGGUAUAUAUCAGCCAUUGCGGGGAUGGCCGUCGGUGGGUGUCGCUGGGCCGAGGGAUGGCCGUUGUGGGGUGGCUCUAGGUAGGC